Molecule: ribosomal RNA, 253 nt
Filed under: uncultured bacterium
Lineage: Bacteria
Description: partial 16S ribosomal RNA
Rfam family: Bacterial small subunit ribosomal RNA
Source: RNAcentral
UACGAAGGGGGCUAGCGUUGCUCGGAUUUACUGGGCGUAAAGGGUGCGUAGGCGGUGGGGUAAGUUUGAGGUGAAAGCUCCGGGCUCAACCCGGAAAAUGCCUUGAAAACUAUCCGGCUAGAGGGUUGGAGGGGAGACUGGAAUUCUCGGUGUAGCAGUGAAAUGCGUAGAUCUCGAGAGGAACACCAGUGGCGAAGGCGGGUCUCUGGACAACACCUGACGCUGAGGCACGAAAGCCAGGGGAGCAAACGGG